AGGCGGAAGUUUUCGGAUGGAAGCUUGUAAACUUAGUGGCGGACGGGUGAGUAACACGUGAGCAACCUGCCUAUCAGAGGGGGAUAACGAUUGGAAACGAUCGCUAAUACCGCAUGACAUAGCGGAACCGCAUGGUUCUGUUAUCAAAGAUUUUAUCGCUGAUAGAUGGGCUCGCGUCCGAUUAGAUAGUUGGUGGGGUAACGGCCUACCAAGUCGACGAUCGGUAGCCGGACUGAGAGGUCGAACGGCCACAUUGGGACUGAGACACGGCCCAGACUCCUACGGGAGGCAGCAGUGGGGGAUAUUGCACAAUGGGGGAAACCCUGAUGCAGCGACGCCGCGUGAGGGAAGACGGUCCUCUGAAUUGUAAACCUCUGUCUUCGGGGACGAAACGAGACGGUACCCGAGGAGGAAGCCACGGCUAACUACGUGCCAGCAGCCGCGGUAAUACGUAGGUGGCAAGCGUUGUCCGGAAUUACUGGGUGUAAAGGGAGCGUAGGCGGGCAGGCAAGUCAGGCGUGAAAUAUAUCGGCUCAACCGGUAACGGCGCUUGAAACUGCAGGUCUUGAGUGAAGUAGAGGUUGGCGGAAUUCCUAGUGUAGCGGUGAAAUGCGUAGAUAUUAGGAGGAACACCAGUGGCGAAGGCGGCCAACUGGGCUUUUACUGACGCUGAGGCUCGAAAGUGUGGGGAGCAAACAAGAUUAGAUACCCUGGUAGUCCACACCGUAAA
This 730-nucleotide ribosomal RNA is filed under the name uncultured bacterium. Its description in RNAcentral is "bacterial SSU rRNA". It matches the Rfam family "Bacterial small subunit ribosomal RNA", at positions 64 to 806 of the family's 1533-position model. The record is from RNAcentral.